RNAcentral lists this ribosomal RNA (444 nucleotides) under uncultured soil bacterium. RNAcentral describes it as "bacterial SSU rRNA". It matches the Rfam family "Bacterial small subunit ribosomal RNA", at positions 27 to 460 of the family's 1533-position model. The record is from RNAcentral.
GGAUUGAACGCUGGCGGCAGGCCUAACACAUGCAAGUCGAGCGGUAGAGAGGUGCUUGCACCUCUUGAGAGCGGCGGACGGGUGAGUAAUGCCUAGGAAUCUGCCCAGUGGUGGGGGAUAACGUUCGGAAACGGACGCUAAUACCGCAUACGUCCUACGGGAGAAAGCGGGGGACCUUCGGGCCUCGCGCCAUUAGAUGAGCCUAGGUCGGAUUAGCUAGUUGGUGAGGUAAUGGCUCACCAAGGCGACGAUCCGUAACUGGUCUGAGAGGAUGAUCAGUCACACUGGAACUGAGACACGGUCCAGACUCCUACGGGAGGCAGCAGUGGGGAAUAGUUGGACAAUGGGCGAAAGCCUGAUCCAGCACUGCCCGCGUUGUAGUGAAAGAAGGUCGUUCGGAAUUUGGAAACGCUACGUUUAAGGUUGGGAGGAAGGGUUUGUAAC